Molecule: ribosomal RNA, 492 nt
Filed under: uncultured bacterium
Lineage: Bacteria
Description: partial 16S ribosomal RNA
Rfam family: Bacterial small subunit ribosomal RNA
Source: RNAcentral
AGUGAACGCUGGCGGUAGGCCUAACACAUGCAAGUCGAACGGCAGCACAGUAAGAGCUUGCUCUUACGGGUGGCGAGUGGCGGACGGGUGAGGAAUACAUCGGAAUCUACUUUUUCGUGGGGGAUAACGUAGGGAAACUUACGCUAAUACCGCAUACGACCUACGGGUGAAAGCAGGGGAUCUUCGGACCUUGCGCGAUUGAAUGAGCCGAUGUCGGAUUAGCUAGUUGGCGGGGUAAAGGCCCACCAAGGCGACGAUCCGUAGCUGGUCUGAGAGGAUGAUCUGCCACACUGGAACUGACACACGCUCCACACUCCUACAGGAGGCAGCAGUGGGGAAUAUUGGACAAUGGACGCAAGCCUGUUCCAGCCGUCCCGCGUGGGUGAAGAAGGCCUUCGGGUUGUAAAGCCCUUUUGUUGGGAAAGAAAAGCAGCAGGUUAAUACCCCGCUGUUCUGACGGUACCCAAUGAAUAAGCACCGGCUAACUUCGUG